UGCAGGGAGACUGCCUGUCAGUUUAGGCAGUCCCCCUGCAGGCAGAUACACAGGCACCUAUUGUGGCCAUGUGACCGCUCUUUCAGAGCAAUUACAUGGCAGGGGGGGCUUAUUUGCCAAGGGGUGACUGUCUAGGCCAGUGAUGGCGAACCUUUUUGAGCCCGAGUGCCCAAACCACAAUACAUGCCAACUUUUUUUCCCUCAAAGUGCCAACAUGGCAAUUAAACCUGAAUACUGAGGUUUACGUUUAGAAAAAACUACUCGUACAGUUAACAACUUUUGUUUUAAAAGAAGAACACAACAGAGAGUUAAAUUAUACAAAUUUUAAAUGAUAUAAAUUAAGCUUAUAUUAGUAUCUCCAACAAAUGCAAUACAUACACACAGACUGCUGAACACAUUCACACACCAACUGCUUAAUACAUACACACACCGAGACACAGACAGACUGCUAAAUACACACACAGUCCGCUAAAUACACGCACACUCCUGAGUACGCAGUCUGCUGAAUACACGCACGCAGUCUGCUGAAUACACGCACACACACUGCUGAAUACAUAAAGACUGCUGAACACACACACAUAUACUGCAUUGAGGGGUGCAGUGUAUGUGUCUGUGUGUAAUGUUGUGUGGGGGGUGUGGGGUGCUGUGUGUGGGGGGUGGGGUGCUGUGUGUGGGGGUAGGGUGCUGUGUGUGGGGGGUGGGGUGCUGUGUGUGGGGGUUGGGGUGCUGUGUGUGUGGGGGUUGGGGUGCUGUGUGUGUUUGGGGAAAGGGUGCUGUGUGUGUUUGGGGGAAAGGGUGCUGUGUGUGUUUGGGGGAAAGGGUGCUGUGUGUGUGGGGGGGUAGGGGUGCUGGGGGUAGUGGGGGUGCUGGGGGUAAGGGUUUUGUGGGUAGGGGUGCUGGGGGUAGGGGGGAUAGGUUAUUACAUCAGUACCCCCCCCUCCCUUCUUCUAACCUUUGGUGAAGGGGAGGGGGGGGGGACACAGCCAUCCCUGGUGGUCUGGUGGUGGUAUGCAGGACAGGAUGACAAGUCCUGCAGCUCUCCCGCGCGAUGCUGUGUGGAGCGUUGCCAUGGUAACGCGCGGCAACGCUCCACACAGCUCGCGGGUGGACAAGAGAGCUGUUUCCUCGAUCCUUCCUCCCUGCUUCCGGUCCUGCCGACACGGAAGCAGAGUAGGCGCCUGCCGUUUCGGGCAGGCAGGCGCCUACUCUGCAGUGAUGGCAAACCUAUGGCCGUGUGCCCACAGAGAGGGCCCGGCGUGCCACCUGUGGCACGCGUGCCAUAGGUUCGCCAUCACUGGUCUAGGCUGUCAGACAAUUCCCCCAGACCAGGAGGAACAAGGACAGCGUUCUAUGCCGCCCGCAGGUGUUUAGAGCCACCACUAAAAGGACGGCAUAGGGUGCCCAAACCACAAUACAUGCCAACUUUUUUUCCCUCAAAGUGCCAACAUGGCAAUUAAACCUGAAUACUGAGGUUUACGUUUAGAAAAAACUACUCGUACAGUUAACAACUUUUGUUUUAAAAGAAGAACACAACAGAGAGUUAAAUUAUACAAAUUUUAAAUAAUGAUAUAAAUUAAGCUUAUAUUAGUAUCUCCAACAAAUGCAAUACAUACACACAGACUGCUGAACACAUUCACACACCAACUGCUUAAUACAUACACAGACCGAGACACAGACAGACUGCUAAAUACACACACAGUCCGCUAAAUACACGCACACUCCUGAGUACGCAGUCUGCUGAAUACACGCACGCAGUCUGCUGAAUAUACGCACGCAGUCUGCUGAAUACACACACACACACUGCUGAAUACAUAAAGACUGCUGAACACACACACAUAUACUGCAUUGAGUUGUGCAGUGUAUGUGUCUGUGUGUAAUGUUGUGUGGGGGGGGUGGGGUGCUGUGUGUGGGGGGUGGGGUGCUGUNNNNNNNNNNNNNNNNNNNNNNNNNNNNNNNNNNNNNNNNNNNNNNNNNNNNNNNNNNNNNNNNNNNNNNNNNNNNNNNNNNNNNNNNNNNNNNNNNNNNUGGGUAAGAGGGGUAGGGGUGCUGUGGGUAGUGGGGGUGCUGGGGGUAAGGGUUCUGUGGGUGGGGGUAGGGGUGCUGUGGGUAGGGGGAGUAGGGGUGCUGGGGGUAGUGGGGGUAAGGGUUUUGUGGGUAGGGGUGCUGGGGGUAGGGGGGAUAGGUUAUUAAAUCAGUACCCCCCCCUCCCUUCUUCUAACCUUUGGUGAAGGGGAGGGGGGGACACAGCCAUCCCUGGUGGUCUGGUGGUGGUAUGCAGGACAGGAUGACAAGUCCUGCAGCUCUCCCGUCCUCCCGCGCGAUGCUGUGUGGAGCGUUGCCAUGGUAACGCGCGGCAACGCUCCACACAGCUCGCGGGUGGACAAGAGAGCUGUUUCCUCGAUCCUUCCUCCCUGCUUCCGGUCCUGCCGACACGGAAGCAGAGUAGGCGCCUGCCGUUUCGGGCAGGCAGGCGCCUACUCUGCAGUGAUGGCAAACCUAUGGCCGUGUGCCCACAGAGAGGGCCCGGCGUGCCACCUGUGGCACGCGUGCCAUAGGUUCGCCAUCACUGGUCUAGGCUGUCAGACAAUUCCCCCAGACCAGGAGGAACAAGGACAGCGUUCUAUGCCGCCCGCAGGUGUUUAGAGCCACCACUAAAAGGACGGCAUAGGGUGCAGGCUGUCCUUAAGGGGUAAAAUUAUGACAACCUCACCUUAACUACAGAGGUAAUUAUACAAGACAAGUUCUGAACCAAAACAAAACCUGAAAUUUGAGCUAUAUGUCUGUUCAACCAUAAUUUAAGGGUUUCUCUUCAAGUGCCCCCAAUACGUAUUGUACAUUAUUGGUUAAAUGACAGGGC
RNAcentral lists this long non-coding RNA (2857 nucleotides) under Pelobates cultripes (western spadefoot toad). Lineage: Eukaryota; Metazoa; Chordata; Amphibia; Anura; Pelobatidae. The record is from RNAcentral.